RNAcentral lists this ribosomal RNA (550 nucleotides) under uncultured archaeon. RNAcentral's name for it is "bacterial SSU rRNA". It matches the Rfam family "Archaeal small subunit ribosomal RNA", at positions 325 to 879 of the family's 1478-position model. The record is from RNAcentral.
ACGGGGUGCAGCAGGCGCGAAACCUUUACAAUGCACGAAAGUGUGAUAAGGGAACCCAAAGUGCUUAGCUUAGCUAAGCUUUUGCCAAGAGUAAAUAUCUUGGAGAAUAAGUGGUGGGCAAGACUGUGCCAGCCGCCGCGGUAAUACCAGCGCCACGAGUGGGAGCUAUGAUUAUUGGGCCUAAAGCGUCCGUAGCCUGUUUGAUAAAUUUCUUGUGAAAUUGUUAAGCUCAACUUAACACCAUGCAGGAAAGACUGUCAAACUUGGGACUGGGAGGAGUUAGAAGUAUCUUUGGGGUAGCGGUAAAAUGUUAUAAUCCUAAAGAGACUACCUAUGGCGAAAGCAUCUAACCAGAACAGGUCCGACGGUGAGGAACGAAAGCUAGGGGAGCAAACCGGAUUAGAUACCCGAGUAGUCCUAGCCAUAAACGCUGCGAGCAAGAUGUUGCAUAUUCUUCGAGAAUAUGCAGUAUCGAAGAGAAGUCGUUAAGCUCGCCGCCUGGGAAGUAUGGUCGCAAGACUGAAACUUAAAGGAAUUGGCGGGGGAGCAC